RNAcentral lists this long non-coding RNA (1022 nucleotides) under Coffea arabica (coffee). Its description in RNAcentral is "long non-coding RNA (CARA_LNC008192)". Lineage: Eukaryota; Viridiplantae; Streptophyta; Magnoliopsida; Gentianales; Rubiaceae. The record is from RNAcentral.
AAUGACUAUUGGAUGAACCUGUUGUUGUGUGUGUACCUUUGGGACUGGCUGAGGAAAUAAUGAAGCCAUGAUGGCUGGAAAAGUUAGCAAAUGUAGGGGAAGUGCUGUCCGAACUUUUAAAGGAUAUGUUUGCAUUGAGUUUGUGAUCUAAGACUUGGGUUUGAGCAAGGCAAUGAUACAUGAUGGAUGAUUUCUGAGCCAUUGAGGUGAGUGACCCUAAAUUGUUUCCAAAGUUACUUUUGAAAUGUUCCUUGCAUUGUUUCUUUGGUUUGCAUAUCAUGUGUGCGCGCAUACGAGUUCUUGACAUGGUUUGGCUUUAAUGAGUUCUUGAGGAGUCUUGUGCUGGACACCAACGUCUCCACCACUUUCGUGAGUUUGUGAUAUGAUCUGGAGCACCGAUGCUGCUCCCCUUUAAUGUUUAUGGUUUCGUGAUCUGUUUGAGCGUUGGGUGUUUAGUUUCAAUGAUUUCACUGGCUCACGAGAGCAAAAAUACGUGCAUUUGAUACUUGAAUCAUGACAUCAUGACAUCAUCGAAAUGAAUUAUUGUGAAAGAUAUUUGAUUACUGGUUUUAUUUGGUUACUCGCUGAGCUUCUAGCUCACCCCAAAAAUAUUUUAUUCCCCUCCACAGGGCUCAAGGCGAAGGCAGGACUUGUUGUGCUUAUUCAUGUGAAUGGAUGGAUUAUCUCGUGUGUGGUUUGAAUUUGGAUUUCCUUUUGUGUAAUAGUUAUUAUUAGGGAUUGUAAUGAAUGUUUGGAAUCGAUCGGAUGUGUACAUACGUUCCACGCUUGGAAUUAGUUUCCGCUUCGUUUUGUUUAUAUGUAAAUAUUGAAGAUUUACAUUGUAAUAUUUGAGGUUUAUUCUUGUAAUAUAUUGAGGAUUGUAGUGAACGACUGAGUCCCGGCGAGAGCUGGGCAGGCGGCCCGCCGAACCCUCUGGUUCGCCUCAGGGGGAGGUGGGGCCGUCACAUAGCACGCUAGUUUCGCCUUCUAAUCCGAGGGAAAAUCAAAGUCGAAGAAUUAGG